Molecule: ribosomal RNA, 759 nt
Filed under: uncultured Neisseria sp.
Lineage: Bacteria; Pseudomonadati; Pseudomonadota; Betaproteobacteria; Neisseriales; Neisseriaceae
Description: bacterial SSU rRNA
Rfam family: Bacterial small subunit ribosomal RNA
Source: RNAcentral
AUUGAACGCUGGCGGCAUGCUUUACACAUGCAAGUCGGACGGCAGCACAGAGGAGCUUGCUUCUUGGGUGGCGAGUGGCGAACGGGUGAGUAACGCAUCGGAACGUACCGAGUAAUGGGGGAUAACUGUCCGAAAGGACAGCUAAUACCGCAUACGCCCUGAGGGGGAAAGCGGGGGAUCUUAGGACCUCGCGUUAUUCGAGCGGCCGAUGUCCGAUUAGCUGGUUGGCGGGGUAAAGGCCCACCAAGGCGACGAUCAGUAGCGGGUCUGAGAGGAUGAUCCGCCACACUGGGACUGAGACACGGCCCAGACUCCUACGGGAGGCAGCAGUGGGGAAUUUUGGACAAUGGGCGCAAGCCUGAUCCAGCCAUGCCGCGUGUCUGAAGAAGGCCUUCGGGUUGUAAAGGACUUUUGUCAGGGGAGAAAAGGAACGUGUUAAUACCAUGUUCUGAUGACGGUACCUGAAGAAUAAGCACCGGCUAACUACGUGCCAGCAGCCGCGGUAAUACGUAGGGUGCGAGCGUUAAUCGGAAUUACUGGGCGUAAAGCGGGCGCAGACGGUUACUUAAGCGGGAUGUGAAAUCCCCGGGCUCAACCCGGGAACUGCGUUCCGAACUGGGUGGCUAGAGUGUGUCAGAGGGGGGUAGAAUUCCACGUGUAGCAGUGAAAUGCGUAGAGAUGUGGAGGAAUACCGAUGGCGAAGGCAGCCCCCUGGGAUAACACUGACGUUCAUGCCCGAAAGCGUGGGUAGCAAACGGG